UUAGGGAUCGUUCGACAAUGAAGUCUACCAGUACUUACAUUUUUAUUGUUGUGCGAAGCUAAUACUCAAUGUCGAACUCUCUGAGCUUGAUUGUCCAUUUCGUCAGGUGAUCAGAUGUAUUCGAUCUGUGAAGUAUUACUUUCAGGGGCUGAUCGGUUAGCAUAACAAUAAUGUGGGCUUGAAAGUACGAUCGAAGAUACUUGCUAGCGAUGAUAAUUUUAUAAAUUAUUUUUUUGAUUGGCAUAUACAUAGUUUUUGCAUCUUUGAGGACUUUACUGGUGUAAUAGAUCGA
RNAcentral lists this long non-coding RNA (292 nucleotides) under Elaeis guineensis (African oil palm). Its description in RNAcentral is "long non-coding RNA (EGUI_LNC002622)". Lineage: Eukaryota; Viridiplantae; Streptophyta; Magnoliopsida; Arecales; Arecaceae. The record is from RNAcentral.